Molecule: ribosomal RNA, 436 nt
Filed under: uncultured bacterium
Lineage: Bacteria
Description: partial 16S ribosomal RNA
Rfam family: Bacterial small subunit ribosomal RNA
Source: RNAcentral
AACGAACGCUGGCGGCAUGCCUAACACAUGCAAGUCGAACGACAUCCUUCGGGGUCUAUUGGCUCACGGGUGCGUAACGCGUGGGAAUCUGCCCUUAGGUUCGUACUAACAGUUAGAAAUGACUGCUAAUACCGGAUGAUUACGUUAAGUCCAAAGAUUUAUCGCCUGAGGAUGAUCCCGCGUAGGAUUAUCUAGUUGGUGUGGUAAAGGCUCACCAAGGCGACGAUCCUUAGCUGGUCUGAGAGGAUGAUCAGCCACACUGGGACUGAGACACUGCACAGAAUCCUACGGGAGGGAGCAGUGGGGAAUAUUGGACAAUGGGCGCAAGGCUGAUCCAGCAAUGACGCGUGAGUGAUGAAGGCAUUAGGGUUGUAAAGCUCUUUUACCCGGGAUGAUAAUGACAGUACCGGGAGAAUAAGCCCCGGCUAACUCCGUG